Molecule: long non-coding RNA, 285 nt
Organism: Boleophthalmus pectinirostris (great blue-spotted mudskipper)
Lineage: Eukaryota; Metazoa; Chordata; Actinopteri; Gobiiformes; Gobiidae
Exons: 3
Source: RefSeq, a predicted model, not a curated record
GAAAAUGUAAAGAAAAAUGGAGAGGCAACUGAGUAUUCUGAUUUGGACAAGAUUUUGAAAGCAAUGGACUCUUUGUCUAAAACCAUGGAUGACCUUCUACUGCAAAGUAAACUGAAGCUCUGUGACCUCAUCAUCUGUGUUGGUCGGUCCUGCAGUGUUGCAGCUCUGAAAGUCCAAGAUGGCCAUAAGCAGCAGCAGUAGUACACAUCAUAAAGAACAGAAAAACGUUUCUCUGACCUUGUCCACUUUUGUAAGAGCUACCUCUGCCUCCCGCCUGGUCAUCAC